Molecule: transfer RNA, 72 nt
Organism: Camelus ferus (Wild Bactrian camel)
Lineage: Eukaryota; Metazoa; Chordata; Mammalia; Artiodactyla; Camelidae
Rfam family: tRNA
About the family: Transfer RNA (tRNA) molecules are approximately 80 nucleotides in length. Their secondary structure includes four short double-helical elements and three loops (D, anti-codon, and T loops). Further hydrogen bonds mediate the characteristic L-shaped molecular structure. tRNAs have two regions of fundamental functional importance: the anti-codon, which is responsible for specific mRNA codon recognition, and the 3' end, to which the tRNAs corresponding amino acid is attached (by aminoacyl-tRNA synthetases). tRNAs cope with the degeneracy of the genetic code in two manners: having more than one tRNA (with a specific anti-codon) for a particular amino acid; and 'wobble' base-pairing, i.e. permitting non-standard base-pairing at the 3rd anti-codon position.
Source: Rfam
GAGGGUAUAGCCCAGUGGUAGAGUGCAUGCUCAACAUACAUGAGGUCCAGGGUUCAAUCCCCAGUACCUCCA